AACGAACGCUGGCGGCAUGCCUAACACAUGCAAGUCGAACGAGACCUUCGGGUCUAGUGGCGCACGGGUGCGUAACGCGUGGGAACCUGCCCUUAGGUUCGGAAUAACUCCCCGAAAGGGGUGCUAAUACCGGAUAAUGUCUUCGGACCAAAGAUUUAUCGCCUUUGGAUGGGCCCGCGUUGGAUUAGCUAGUUGGUAGGGUAAAAGCCUACCAAGGCGACGAUCCAUAGCUGGUCUGAGAGGAUGAUCAGCCACACUGGGACUGAGACACGGCCCAGACUCCUACGGGAGGCAGCAGUGGGGAAUAGUGGACAAUGGGCGAAAGGCUGAUCCAGCAAUGCCGCGUGAGUGAUGAAGGCCUUAGGGUUGUAAAGCUCUUUUAACCGGGAUGAUAAUGACAGUACCGGGAGAAUAAGCUCCGGCUAACUCCGUG
Molecule: ribosomal RNA, 433 nt
Filed under: uncultured bacterium
Lineage: Bacteria
Description: partial 16S ribosomal RNA
Rfam family: Bacterial small subunit ribosomal RNA
Source: RNAcentral